This 274-nucleotide ribosomal RNA is filed under the name uncultured bacterium. RNAcentral describes it as "partial 16S ribosomal RNA". It matches the Rfam family "Bacterial small subunit ribosomal RNA", at positions 523 to 796 of the family's 1533-position model. The record is from RNAcentral.
AUACGGAGGGUGCAAGCAUUACUCGGAAUCACUGGGCGUAAAGCGCGCGCAGGCGGCCAUUUAAGUUGGAUGUGAAAGCCUACGGCUCAACCGUAGAACUGCAUCCAAAACUAUUUGGCUAGAGUGUGGGAGAGGAAGAUGGAAUUAGUUGUGUAGGGGUAAAAUCCGUAGAGAUAACUAGGAAUACCAAAAGCGAAGGCAAUCUUCUGGAACAUUACUGACGCUGAGGCGCGAAAGCGUGGGGAGCAAACAGGAUUAGAAACCCGGGUAGUCC